Molecule: ribosomal RNA, 450 nt
Filed under: uncultured Flavobacteriia bacterium
Lineage: Bacteria; Pseudomonadati; Bacteroidota; Flavobacteriia
Description: bacterial SSU rRNA
Rfam family: Bacterial small subunit ribosomal RNA
Source: RNAcentral
GGCCUAACACAUGCAAGUCGAGGGGUAUAGUUCUUCGGAAUUAGAGACCGGCGCACGGGUGCGUAACGCGUAUGCAAUCUACCUUUUACAGAGGGAUAGCCCAGAGAAAUUUGGAUUAAUACCUCAUAGUAUAAUAGCUCGGCAUCGAGCAAUUAUUAAAGUCACAACGGUAAAAGAUGAGCAUGCGUCCCAUUAGCUAGUUGGUAAGGUAACGGCUUACCAAGGCUACGAUGGGUAGGGGUCCUGAGAGGGAGAUCCCCCACACUGGUACUGAGACACGGACCAGACUCCUACGGGAGGCAGCAGUGAGGAAUAUUGGACAAUGGGCGCAAGCCUGAUCCAGCCAUGCCGCGUGCAGGAUGACGGUCCUAUGGAUUGUAAACUGCUUUUAUACGAGAAGAAACACUACUUCGUGAAGUAGCUUGACGGUAUCGUAAGAAUAAGGAUCGG